This 2018-nucleotide long non-coding RNA is filed under the name Calidris pygmaea (Spoon-billed sandpiper). RNAcentral's name for it is "lncRNA (ENSCPGG00000005727.1)". The record is from RNAcentral. Lineage: Eukaryota; Metazoa; Chordata; Aves; Charadriiformes; Scolopacidae.
GGAUAACCCUGAUUUCCAUAUGCAGAUUUAUCUGCACUGACAGCCCCCUCUCCCUCUCUUAGUCUUUCUGUUUCCUCUCUCCCUCCCUCUCUCUCCCUCUUUCUCUUCCCCUCUCUUUCUCUUCCUCUCUGUCUUUUUGUCUCUCUUUAUGUCUAUUGCAUUAUGCUUGAAUAAUUUUCAGCUGGGGUUUUUUUUUUCUCUCCUCUUGCACAUGCUAAAAUAACUAGACAAAGAUGCAAGGUGGUUGCUGCAGUCCCUGUCUCUAGGACAAAACCAAGAAAGCUCGGGUUUGCAAUGCCACCUUUCCUUUUUUUUUUUUUUUCUUUCUUUUUUUUUUCCCCCACCCAUGCUCGGUGAUUAAACUUACCCAGGAUGGGGAAGAAAAAGGAGCUGGAAAUGAGAUAAGGUUAAGGAAAAAGCCCAUUGCAGCAGCUGCAGCCAGUGGUGUCUGCUGCCAGAUGUGCUAAGGUUCCUGGGGUCCUUGACACUAAAAGGCAGUAUUAAAAUAUUUGGAGACAAAAGCUGCAUCUUCAGUGCUCAUUUUCUUUAUUUAACAUGGCAGCAAGCACCGUGUGGGGGAAAAUCAACACGCUGGAUGUUGAAUUGGACUUUUCUCCGUUCUAGGAUGAAAGGAUGUUAUCUAUCCCGUGCCAAGAGGGAACUAAGGUGCAGGGGGAGGGGAAGAAAGUCUUCCAAACUAGCCCGCCAUGAGCAAUGAACAUAUGGCUGUUACUAUCAGCACUAGUGUAUUUGCGGCGAUGCCUAUCAACAUCCACCAGAGAGCAGGGCAGCUCCAAAACCCACAUCUUUUAUGCUGUGGAAAUUGAUGGAGACAGCAACACAGCCAGCUUCUUGGCCAAACAACAUGGAAUGCAGUUCAUUUCAAAGGUGAAACGGGUGAAUAUCAGACAGCUCAUUAUAGAGACAAGCAUGCUGCAUUCCCCGAGUAGGAUGACAGAACAAGUCAUGAUCUUGUGCAGAAGGAAAAUGACAUCCCUAGUGAAGCCUACAAUGUCAUUGACUCUGAAGAAGGACUCAGAGACCCAUUGGUGUUUAAUGACCCUUAUUGGCCUGCACAAAAGAAACUGGGAUCUGGGAAACAUCCUGCCUCCCCUAGGCCCAGGGGCCGUGGAAGAGCAGCAUCACCAGUGUCCAUGGGCAGGAUGAACAAACUGGCUGUGCUCCUUGCAGUUGCUCCUACUGCUGAAGAGGAAACUGUAUCUGAGCUUUUUCACUCGCUCUCUGGUCCCUGUGCUGAAGCUGCUUCAAACAGCUGUCUGUGUAUGUGCUCCACAAUUUGGGCACUAUUUUUGGAGUCUUAUGUGCCUUGGAAUGAAAUGUCCCUGUUCUGCUCAGCUCCCAAAGGCAUUCCCAUUGAGAGCAAAAGAGAUGUCACCUGUGGGCCCUCCUGCCUUUUGCUGAGGAAUCAAAGUCAACCACCUCCUGCAACAGCCCAUGGGGCAGGUAUGCCAUCAUUCCCCGUGCACUGUCAGGUACCAGCACCCAACAAAUAUGACUCCAACACAGCCAGAUGACAGGGUCUGCAGAGGUCUUCUGAUCUGAAUGGGAGAGUGCAUUUUACUUCAUCUGUAUGUGCUUGGAGAAUAACACAUCAAAAUUCUUCUUGAAAAGUAUGGCCAAGUUAGGUCUGUCCACGGUUCCCCACUAUGCUCUUUCCAGUGUAUGGAUCAACAUCAAAUGCAUUGUAGUUUUGGCAAAUAAUUUCUCCCACUCUUCCCUUUCUCUUCCCCCUCCCCUCCCAGCUGACACACAGUGACUAUAGGGGGCAAUGCAACCUCAUCAUACAGCCUGUGUACAUCAGCUACAUACCACAUUAAUAGGCGGAAACUUUAAAGUCUUCGUUUUUACUUCUUGCUUUUGAGCAAUUUGUACCAUGGUAAGCUGUAUUGUUAUUUGGGCCCCAUAAAAUGAGACAUUUUAACUUCAGAUAAGCUUUUACCAGUUACAUUUUUUUGAUUGUUUGUAAAUGAAAGUUAAUAAAGAGUGAUUUCAUUUCA